UACGUAGGUGGCGAGCGUUGUCCGGAAUUACUGGGUGUAAAGGGAGCGUAGGCGGGUCGGCAAGUCAGUGGUGAAAUACAUGGGCUUAACCCAUGAAUUGCCAUUGAAACUGCCGGUCUUGAGUGGAUCAGAGGCAAGCGGAAUUCCGAGUGUAGCGGUGAAAUGCGUAGAGAUCGGGAGGAACACCAGUGGCGAAGGCGGGUAACUGGACCGCAACUGACGCUGAGGCGCGAAAGUGUGGGGAGCAAACAGGAUUAGAUACCCUGGUA
This 269-nucleotide ribosomal RNA is filed under the name uncultured prokaryote. Its description in RNAcentral is "partial 16S ribosomal RNA". It matches the Rfam family "Bacterial small subunit ribosomal RNA", at positions 524 to 792 of the family's 1533-position model. The record is from RNAcentral.